RNAcentral lists this long non-coding RNA (895 nucleotides) under Linum usitatissimum (flax). RNAcentral's name for it is "long non-coding RNA (LUSI_LNC004007)". The record is from RNAcentral. Lineage: Eukaryota; Viridiplantae; Streptophyta; Magnoliopsida; Malpighiales; Linaceae.
UAAGAGCACAUUGUUAUUUUGAUCUAAUAGUUGGAGCAUUCGACAUCUGUCUGUCUUCUCCUUCCUUUACAGUAGUUAACCGAUGUCAAGAACAGCUUGUGCCUUGUAGUUUAACAAUUUACGAAAUUUCAGACUUUCCUAGACAUCAAACUGAAGGAUCUUCGCAGCACCGGACGAGUCAACCAUUACAUCUUCACCGAUUCAGAUAUCGCGGUGGUUGAUGAUCUAGGACACAUAUUCCGCGACUAUCCGAAUUUCCAUCUCGCUCUGACCUUCCGUAACAAUAAGGGACAGCCUCUACAUUCCGGGUCCAUAGACGUAAGAGGAACUUCCUAUUGCAGGCGGCAAUGCCACGGAGCAACGUUGUGAUUCUAACCGAUCCAGCAUCCCAUCUCUCGGUUCAUCAAAACCACGUCGCUGUAUAUCCGAUUCAAGGCGAAUAUUCACGCGACAAGCUGAUGCUUCAAAGAAUCAGGUCAUACAUUGUAAGAGCACAUUGUUAUUUUGAUCUAAUAGUUGGAGCAUUCGACAUCUGUCUGUCUUCUCCUUCCUUUACAGUAGUUAACCGAUGUCAAGAACAGCUUGUGCCUUGUAGUUUAACAAUUUACGAAAUUUCAGACUUUCCUAGACAUCAAACUGAAGUAUCUCCAUAGCAACGGACGAGUCAACCAUUACAUCUUCACCGAUUCAGAUAUCGCGGUGGUUGAUGAUCUAGGACACAUAUUCCGCGACUAUCCGAAUUUCCAUCUCGCUCUGACCUUCCGUAACAAUAAGGGACAGCCUCUAAAUUCCGGGUUCAUAGCCGUAAGAGGAACACACGACGGACUCUCGAGGUAAAAAUCGCGCUAUACUGCUAACUGUGGAGUGCACCAUUUUCUUUCCUGAUAGCUGGAAA